Brassica rapa (field mustard) is the source of this 2039-nucleotide long non-coding RNA. RefSeq lists it as uncharacterized. The record is from RefSeq and is a predicted model, not a curated record. NCBI's taxonomy places the organism in Eukaryota, Viridiplantae, Streptophyta, Magnoliopsida, Brassicales, Brassicaceae.
AGCAAAGCUUCAGAUUUGCGGACGCCCAUGUUUUGCUCCUAUUCGAAGAGGUCCCUGAGAGCAGAAAAUUCAUCCCCAAGGUUAUGAGGAGUUGAUGUCAUUAGCUAAUACCAAUUCCGAGUUGCCUGAUAUUUUGGUAAGUUUAUGGAUUUUACUUCCACUUUCUAUGAAGAAACACAAAAAUACUCAGCGAAUUAUGGCCAACCUCCGCUUUCAGGGGUCAUACCAAACUAUUCCCUUCAUGUUGUUAAACUCUUUACGAAAACUUCUGCUUAAUCAUUUACUUGACUCCUCCACAGGGAGGUGAUAACAACCCUGGCCAUGAUAUUCCAGGAGCUGGAGCUGUAACAACAGACCCUUCUCAAAGUGUUGAAAGAGGUAUUCAUGACAACAGCAACAGACCCAGUAACCAUGUGAUGGUGGAAAGCCUCUCAGGAACUGUUACUGAACCAAGUGACAUCCCUGUUUCAUCUGACAUGUCUUCUGCGGAGUCCGUCGAGGAAGUGUGUGCGCACUCUGCGAAGAAGCCACACCAUGGUUAAGCUUCAGAUUAUUGGAGUAGAUACAAGGUCGCUCAAUCUCACAACUGCUUUUUUAACCAGUUUUUAAAUUGUUUCAUAAACCGAAUAAGUAUCACUUUGAGCUAUUUUCCUCAGUGUUUUAACUUAUACGUUUAUUUAUUUUUCUCUAUGAAUUCUGCAUCUUUCUUUUUAAACAAUUUUGAACCGUAGAACUGGUUACAUAGACUAAUAUAUUGUUACUCCUACAAGCUGUUUCAUUUUCAUUUUCUGAAAAAUAUAUUCCGGAACUGAGAAAAGUGAGUUGUGAGAUACUUUGCUCUGUGUUUUCAAAGCAUAUCGUUAUCUUUAUCAUGUUAUUUUCAAUUUCAAGAAUCGAAUGUGUGUGUGUCCUCAGCUAUUAUGCCCCGCCGUAAGUGCAUUUUAUUAACUUAAAUAAAUUAUGUCUACUCCAAGAAUUCUAUUUUUGCUUAUGCUUUUAAAUUGUUGGUCAUCGAACUACUGGCUGGUUACAGAGGUUAAGAAUAUUCAAAACAGCUAAAAAAAAGAUUAUUCAACCCCGUCUGAUCCUGUCACACAUACACUAAUAUUCCGUCUCCUCAUCGUAUUAUCCAUAGGUCAUAACAAAAACUGAGAUCAACCCACUAAAGUAAAGUUCCAACUCGAAACUGUUUAAGUCAUCAUGCCAAUUUUUUUUUAAAAAAUUAAACAUCUCUGAUACCCUUGAUUCCAGAGACUCAAUGCGCUGCUAAUGGUUACACUAAACAUCACACUUUAUUUUUACAGAUUUUACAGAUGCUAAUGGUCGCACCUUUCAUCAAAUUCGAGCAAUGACAAUAAAAAAAAAAGAAAUUUACAGAUUUUCAUUUUUAUCACGAAGUUCAUGCUUUAAAAAAUUAGUAAGAAACAAAAUGAUGAACCUCCAGAAAUCAUUGAAAAAUCAUUGUAAGUUUCAAAACAGAAGCUCUCCAGUUUUGAUGUGCAUAAUUGUUUGUUUGAUGACAUAUUCUUUGAUUGUUUUGGGAUGAAAUAUAAAGUUAUUAUGUUGUUUUGUACCAUUUAAUUAUUAAAUUAUAUAUAUAAGUUUUUCGAUGUUAUCGUUGUUACUAAGUGGAAACUGAAAAUGAGAUGUUUGAUUAGAUAGGAAAUAUAUAUUUUCAUUCAAUAUAGCCAACACUAAAACAAAUAAAAAAGUUUAGUUACUUCUUUAAAUUUUAUUUUUUGAAAAGAAAACUAAUUUUCAGAAAACAUUUAUAUGCAGUUUGGUUCAUUUUAAUUUUCAGAUUAUUAAUGAUUACACUACAUUUAAAUUAUUUUGUAUGAUAGGAUAUGAAACUCAAGUAAAAUUUUGUUAGAAAUGUAAUGCUUAUAUUAAUUUAUAACACUAUUAACUUAUAAAAAUAUUUUCAAAUAGCACGAGCGAAAUUUCCAACAAAUAUUUUUUUUAAGUUCAACAAAUGCCAAAAUAUUUUACAAAACAUAAUUAGUAAAACACCAAAAUUAAAGAAAAUUCAAUUAUAA